ACCACGUGCCGCCGCCCGACCCCUGGAUCCUCCCGACUACUUCUGUCGCCCACGAGGUUCUCACCCACCUUUCCCACCUCUGGUUCUCCGAUGGAGCUGGUGGGCGACAGUGGUAAGCUCGUCUUGCACACCUUUCUGCCGCUACACCUUCUCCUCCGGCCUGCUCCCUCUCGAAUAUUUGGACUGAUGCUUCCAUUGGUGGAGGUUCUGGAAUUCCCGCACCCAACGCGCCGCCACAAGGUUCCGCUUCUUCCCCUGCCGCUGUGGCCCUCCGCUUCUAGGCUCCCCUUGCUUGCUUCCUACCCAUGUUCCCUUCCCCAGCCAGCUGAACCACCUUUCUCCAACUCUCUGAACCGCCCCGAGCGCCCCUGCUGAACCUUCCAUCUCUGUUGUUUGCUCCUGGGAGUGACAUGGGAGUGGCCCAUUUCGUGCGACCACACACGCAGCUCUUGGCUAGCAGCCACACUGGCUGGUCGCCUCCAAGCUUGAGGAUACAAGUUGGUUGCUUCUUGUCGCGAGCACACCAAAUGGAUCUCUGCUUCCGGCCGCGGUGGGAACUCCAGAAUAAAAAUAUGAUGUAUGCAUUGCUUCUUGGCCCAGCUGAGAGAACACUCAUGUUAAAAACUAUAAAGCAGUUUUGAAGCAAUUCCCAGUGUCUUUAGAAGCAUUCCUGGUUAAAAAAGCAAUGACAACCUCCUCCGUUCGAGUUGAGCACUGGUCAUCGUCCAAGUUGACCAGUAGGUGCCGUCCAAGUUCAAAGAGGGUUUUGACAAUAUUCUAUAUGAUUCAUUUGUUUUAGUGAGAAAAAAUGCGGGGUUUUGACAAUAUUCUGUAUGAUUCAUUUGUUCAACCUUAGAACAUGGCAAUAUUCAGUCUAUUUUUCUAUGAUGAAGGCACACAUGAAGUCUUGUGCAAUGGGUAUCCCCCUUGUGCUUCAAA
This is a long non-coding RNA of Triticum dicoccoides, 939 nucleotides long. RefSeq lists it as uncharacterized. The transcript has 2 exons. Lineage: Eukaryota; Viridiplantae; Streptophyta; Magnoliopsida; Poales; Poaceae. The record is from RefSeq and is a predicted model, not a curated record.